AGCAGGUACACCACCGCAGAUUACCCCGUGUAUCCGCGCCAUAAGCGCCCACUGGCGGUUGGGGGAUUCACCCCUCCAUGCCAGCUAACGGUAAGUGUGCGCCUGGGAGUACGCGCAGCUAACUCAAAGAAUGACGGGGCCCGCACAAGCAGAGGAGCAUGUGGCUAAUUCGAUGCAACGCGAAGAACUUUACUGGGCUUGACAUGGAGCUGCACGACCUAUGAAAGUAGGUCUCCUUCGAGGGUGCUUCACAGGUGCUGCAUGGCUGUCGUCAGUUCGUGCCGUGAGGUGUUUGGUUAAGUCCACCAACGAACGCAACCCCUUAUCCGUGUUGCCAGCGGUUCGGCCGGGAACUCGCGGAUGACUGCCAGUUCACACUGGAGGAAGGUGGGGAUGACGUCAAGUCAGUAUGGCCCUUACGCCCAAAGGCUGCACACGUGCUACAAUGGCAUAUUUUUGUGCGUAGCAAGGCCGCAAGGCGGAGCAAAUCGCACAGAGUAUGCCCCAGUUCAGAUCGGGGUCUGCAACAACCGCACCGUGAAGUCGGAUUUGCUAGUAACGGCGUAUCAGCUACGACGCCGUGAAUGCGUUCCCGGGCCUUGUACACACCGCCCGUCACAUCAUGAAAGCCGUCUGCACCCGAAGUCCGGCAUUCGUCGGCCUAAGGUGUGGGUGGUGAUUGGGAUGAAGUCGUAACAAGUG
RNAcentral lists this ribosomal RNA (702 nucleotides) under uncultured bacterium. RNAcentral describes it as "bacterial SSU rRNA". It matches the Rfam family "Bacterial small subunit ribosomal RNA", at positions 760 to 1497 of the family's 1533-position model. The record is from RNAcentral.